Molecule: ribosomal RNA, 776 nt
Filed under: uncultured Neocallimastigales
Lineage: Eukaryota; Fungi; Neocallimastigomycota; Neocallimastigomycetes; Neocallimastigales
Description: partial large subunit ribosomal RNA
Rfam family: Eukaryotic large subunit ribosomal RNA
Source: RNAcentral
AGAGAGAGACAUGCGCGCAUAUCAAUAAGCGGAGGAAAAGAAACUAACAAGGAUUCCCUUAGUAACGGCGAGUGUAAGCGGGAAGAGCUCAAAUUUGAAAUCUUCAAGGUUUUACCUUGACGAAUUGUAGUUUAAAGAAGUGUUUUCUGCUGAAGUUUUGGUAAAAGUUCUUUGGAAUAGGACAUCAUAGAGGGUGAGAAUCCCGUAUUUGACCAUUAUUUUCAGCUUUGUGAUACACUUUCAAAGAGUCGGAUUGUUUGGGAAUGCAGUCCAAAAUGGGUGGUAAAUUUCAUCUAAAGCUAAAUAUUGGCGAGAGACCGAUAGCGAACAAGUACCGUGAGGGAAAGAUGAAAAGAACUUUGAAAAGAGAGUUAAACAGUACGUGAAAUUGUCAAAAGGGAAGCGUUUGACACCAGUGUUGUUUUCUCGAAAAUCAAUUAAAAAUGGCUCGAUUUUGUAUUGCUUGAGACCUUAAAAGCUCACUGUACAUUUUUCGUGUCUUUUUUAAUGCACUUUUCGUUUAACAAGUCAACAUCAGUUUCUUUUGUUGUAAAAGGGUCAUUGGAAGGUGGCUUUCUUUUCGGAGAAAGUGUUUAUAGCCUUUGGCCUCUGCAAUCGGAGAGACUGAGGUCUGCAGCGUAGACUCUUCGGGGUUAGAUACAUUUGUGCUAAGUUAUAGCUUUUUAUAGACAACUUGUUGACUAUGAUCAGUCAUGUAGCUUACUCGCUUAUGCUAUUUUACCUACGCUUAGGAUGUUGAGUCGUAGAGCACGCAG